AGAAGAGACGCAGAAAGAUUACAGAUAGGAGGAUCCCAAUACAGAGGUGCGUCGCAAUGUCAUAGCGGUAAAACACACGCUGCCGC
Caenorhabditis elegans is the source of this 86-nucleotide non-coding RNA. The record is from Ensembl. Lineage: Eukaryota; Metazoa; Nematoda; Chromadorea; Rhabditida; Rhabditidae.